AAGUUGCCCGCGUGUUUUUCG
RNAcentral lists this microRNA (21 nucleotides) under Mus musculus (house mouse). Its description in RNAcentral is "mmu-miR-543-5p". Its record names the gene mmu-miR-543-5p. RNAcentral also lists the same sequence under 1 other name. The record is from miRBase by way of RNAcentral. Lineage: Eukaryota; Metazoa; Chordata; Mammalia; Rodentia; Muridae.